UUGUCGAAUCCUGCAAAGCAGACGACCGCGAACUCGUGUAAUUUCCGGGCGUCGGGGAACAGGGGAGACUAAAGCCUCCCCUAACUCCCCGGCGCCCCCCGCGCACCGCGCGGACAACAACUCAACCCCGGCGCGGAAAGCGCCAAGGAAAACUCAAAAGGAUUGCCCGCCUCCCCGUGCGCGGGGUGUGUUGUGGCGUCUGUCGUAACCAAAACGACUCUCGGCAACGGAUAUCUCGGCUCUCGCAUCGAUGAAGAACGUAGCGAAAUGCGAUACUUGGUGUGAAUUGCAGAAUCCCGUGAACCAUCGAGUCUUUGAACGCAAGUUGCGCCCGAAGCCAUUAGGCCGAGGGCACGCCUGCCUGGGCGUCACGCAUCGCGUCGCCACCCCCCUUUUGCGGGGCGGCGGAUACUGGCCUCCCGUCCCAAGAAGGCGCGGCUGGCCUAAAUUCGAGUCCUCGACGGGGGACGUCACGACAAGUGGUGGUUGAAUGCCUCAACUCGAUUCCUGUCGUGUUCAUUGGCCUCGUCGUUUCUCGGGCUCCUUGACCCUUCUUGCUUGCAUCUCGAUGCGAGCCUCGACCGCGACCCCA
This 592-nucleotide ribosomal RNA is filed under the name Mussaenda hossei. RNAcentral describes it as "eukaryotic LSU rRNA". The stretch from base 216 to 371 matches the Rfam family "5.8S ribosomal RNA". The record is from RNAcentral. Lineage: Eukaryota; Viridiplantae; Streptophyta; Magnoliopsida; Gentianales; Rubiaceae.